AGUUUGAUCCUGGCUCAGAUUGAACGCUGGCGGCAUGCCUUACACAUGCAAGUCGAACGGUAACAGGUCUUCGGAUGCUGACGAGUGGCGAACGGGUGAGUAAUACAUCGGAACGUGCCCGAUCGUGGGGGAUAACGAAGCGAAAGCUUUGCUAAUACCGCAUACGAUCUACGGAUGAAAGCAGGGGACCGCAAGGCCUUGCGCGAACGGAGCGGCCGAUGGCAGAUUAGGUAGUUGGUGGGAUAAAAGCUUACCAAGCCGACGAUCUGUAGCUGGUCUGAGAGGACGACCAGCCACACUGGGACUGAGACACGGCCCAGACUCCUACGGGAGG
This 334-nucleotide ribosomal RNA is filed under the name Acidovorax sp. R-26831. Its description in RNAcentral is "bacterial SSU rRNA". It matches the Rfam family "Bacterial small subunit ribosomal RNA", at positions 10 to 348 of the family's 1533-position model. Lineage: Bacteria; Pseudomonadati; Pseudomonadota; Betaproteobacteria; Burkholderiales; Comamonadaceae. The record is from RNAcentral.